Molecule: long non-coding RNA, 391 nt
Organism: Hyalella azteca
Lineage: Eukaryota; Metazoa; Arthropoda; Malacostraca; Amphipoda; Hyalellidae
Exons: 2
Source: RefSeq, a predicted model, not a curated record
CACCUAUGUACCUCUAAACGGCUUCCAAGCCACUUCUAAAUUUACCCCAGCGGUAAUAAAUUAGAAGUAUAACCUCCGGUAUAUCCUCAUACGUCGCAUCUCUUUGCCGUGUGAUUCAAGCCUCCAGUGCAGCCAGCGCGACAUUAUUUGUGCUGUACGCGUUAUUUCAUUUGAGGUUAGAUUGGGAAUAUGCGUUCACUGUCAAGUUUUGUACCGCUGAAUUGGAAUUUCUGAGCAUAAUUGAUCAAAUCGAUUCUCAAGCUUUGGCAUUCAUUAAGUAAGGUUUCGUUUUCUAAUUUCAGUUUCCUCAACUGCAUCCACUGCAGUUCCGGUUUCUACUUCUCUGGAUCCGAAGCUUAUCCUUUGGAGUUUCAAUAAAAUUGUUAGCAGU